RNAcentral lists this ribosomal RNA (513 nucleotides) under uncultured Glomus. Its description in RNAcentral is "SSU rRNA". It matches the Rfam family "Eukaryotic small subunit ribosomal RNA", at positions 569 to 1084 of the family's 1831-position model. Lineage: Eukaryota; Fungi; Glomeromycota; Glomeromycetes; Glomerales; Glomeraceae. The record is from RNAcentral.
AGCAGCCGCGGUAAUUCCAGCUCCAAUAGCGUAUAUUAAAGUUGUUGCAGUUAAAAAGCUCGUAGUUGAAUUUCGGGAUCAGUUGAUCGGUCGUGCCUCGGUACGUACUGGUCAAAUUGAUUCCUACCUUCUGACGAACCACGAUGUCAUUAAUUUGGUGUCGUGGGAAAUCAGGACUGUUACUUUGAAAAAUUAGAGUGUUUAAAGCAGGCUCGCGCUUGAAUACAUUAGCAUGGAAUAAUGAAAUAGGACGUUUGAUUCUAUUUUGUUGGUUUCUAGGAUCGACGUAAUGAUUAAUAGGGAUAGUUGGGGGCAUUAGUAUUCAAUUGUCAGAGGUGAAAUUCUUGGAUUUAUUGAAGACUAACUACUGCGAAAGCAUUUGCCAAGGAUGUUUUCAUUAAUCUAAGAACGAAAGUUAGGGGAUCGAAGACGAUCAGAUACCGUCGUAGUCUUAACCAUAAACUAUGCCGACUAGGGAUCGGAUGAUGUUAAUUUUUAAUGUACUCAUUCGGC